UAUUAUUCAAAUUCUACCUUGUCUAAAUUAUUAUUAUUUUCGUUAGUCAAAUAAAAGUAAUUUUAUAAACGGACAGAUAUUAAAGCCAUGAAUGAUAAUAUAGAUCGCAUUCAAAACCGCACCGCAACAGUACUGUAACAAUAUCAAAAAUUAUAUAUAUAUAUAUGUAUUUAUGUAUUUUUGUUAAUAUUUGAACUGUACCGCAUUUCUCCAAUACCGCAAAACGCAGUAACCAUUCGAAUUAAAGCAUAAAGACAAUUCAAAUUUGGUAUUUUCAUAUCAUUUU
This 286-nucleotide small RNA is filed under the name Arabidopsis thaliana (thale cress). Its description in RNAcentral is "ATSL077890". Lineage: Eukaryota; Viridiplantae; Streptophyta; Magnoliopsida; Brassicales; Brassicaceae. The record is from RNAcentral.